UCCUACGGGGGGCAGCAGUGAGGAAUAUUGGUCAAUGGGCGGGAGCCUGAACCAGCCAAGUCGCGUGAGGGAAGACGGUCCUAUGGAUUGCAAACCUCUUUUGUCGGGGAGCAAAGAGACCACGUGUGGUCAAAAGCGAGAGUACCCGAAGAAAAAGCAUCGGCUAACUCCGUGCCAGCAGCCGCGGUAAUACGGAGGAUGCGAGCGUUAUCCGGAUUUAUUGGGUUUAAAGGGUGCGUAGGCGGGACGGUAAGUCAGCGGUAAAAAUGCGGAGCUCAACUCCGUCGAGCCGUUGAAACUGACAG
RNAcentral lists this ribosomal RNA (305 nucleotides) under uncultured bacterium. RNAcentral describes it as "bacterial SSU rRNA". It matches the Rfam family "Bacterial small subunit ribosomal RNA", at positions 337 to 639 of the family's 1533-position model. The record is from RNAcentral.